RNAcentral lists this transfer RNA (94 nucleotides) under Desulfobacteraceae bacterium. RNAcentral describes it as "tRNA-Ser". It matches the Rfam family "tRNA". From Rfam's summary of the family: Transfer RNA (tRNA) molecules are approximately 80 nucleotides in length. Their secondary structure includes four short double-helical elements and three loops (D, anti-codon, and T loops). The record is from RNAcentral. Lineage: Bacteria; Pseudomonadati; Thermodesulfobacteriota; Desulfobacteria; Desulfobacterales; Desulfobacteraceae.
GGAGAGAUGGCCGAGUUGGCUGAAGGCGCUCGCCUGCUAAGCGAGUGUACGCCGUAAAGGUGUACCUCGGGUUCGAAUCCCGAUCUCUCCGCCA